AAGUCGUAACAAGGUUUCCGUAGGUGAACCUGCGGAAGGAUCAUUAUUGAAUAAACUUGGCAUGGGUUGAUGCUGGCUUUUUUAAUGAGCAAGUGCACACCUAUCCAAUUUUUAAUCCCCUGUGCACCUUUGUAAACCUGGACCUUUUCGAGAAAAGUAGUCAUCUGCUUCACUUGGUUUGAGAAUUGUCAUGCUUGCAAAAGUCAAGACUUUUCUUGUUUCAGAUUUAUGUUUUCACCAUAUACUCUAAGAAAUUAUCAGAAUGUUAUUAUAUUGGCCUUGUGCCUUUAAAUAUAUAUAUAUACAACUUUCAACAACGGAUCUCUUGGCUCUC
RNAcentral lists this unclassified non-coding RNA (334 nucleotides) under fungal sp. RNAcentral's name for it is "partial internal transcribed spacer region". The stretch from base 1 to 46 matches the Rfam family "Eukaryotic small subunit ribosomal RNA", at positions 1786 to 1831 of the family's 1831-position model. RNAcentral also lists the same sequence under 1 other name. The record is from RNAcentral. Lineage: Eukaryota; Fungi.